UUCUAACGUUGACCCGUAAUCCGGGUUGCGGACAGUGUCUGGUGGGUAGUUUGACUGGGGCGGUCUCCUCCUAAAGAGUAACGGAGGAGCACGAAGGUUGGCUAAUCCUGGUCGGACAUCAGGAGGUUAGUGCAAUGGCAUAAGCCAGCUUGACUGCGAGCGUGACGGCGCGAGCAGGUGCGAAAGCAGGUCAUAGUGAUCCGGUGGUUCUGAAUGGAAGGGCCAUCGCUCAACGGAUAAAAGGUACUCCGGGGAUAACAGGCUGAUACCGCCCAAGAGUUCAUAUCGACGGCGGUGUUUGGCACCUCGAUGUCGGCUCAUCACAUCCUGGGGCUGAAGUAGGUCCCAAGGGUAUGGCUGUUCGCCAUUUAAAGUGGUACGCGAGCUGGGUUUAGAACGUCGUGAGACAGUUCGGUCCCUAUCUGCC
Molecule: ribosomal RNA, 427 nt
Filed under: Escherichia coli
Lineage: Bacteria; Pseudomonadati; Pseudomonadota; Gammaproteobacteria; Enterobacterales; Enterobacteriaceae
Description: partial 23S ribosomal RNA
Rfam family: Bacterial large subunit ribosomal RNA
Source: RNAcentral